Molecule: long non-coding RNA, 324 nt
Filed under: Elaeis guineensis (African oil palm)
Lineage: Eukaryota; Viridiplantae; Streptophyta; Magnoliopsida; Arecales; Arecaceae
Description: long non-coding RNA (EGUI_LNC030815)
Source: RNAcentral
GUGGCAGCAAUUAUAUCCAUUCGCAGUCUCCAUGUGUUGUGCGUAUGUCAGUCUUUUGUCGAUGCACGUCUCCUGUAAUUAAUGCGUCGAUGGGAGGCGGCUUUUGGAGGUUCCAUUGAGGUCUGAGGUUAUUUAAAAUCUUCAAACAUAAUGGAACACAGACCUUACAAAAUUCUAGUUUUCUCCUUUCACUGUGCAUUCUUCUCUUCUUCACCCUUUCGUGAUUUUCCUGCACGAGAGGGAGAGAUAGCCACCAUGGAGCCUGACUUUGCAUCGCUGGACUUCAGAUCAGAGUUGAUGGAGCGAGACAUAAUCGUGCUGCAC